UACGUAGGGUGCGAGCGUUGUCCGGAAUUAUUGGGCGUAAAGAGCUCGUAGGCGGCGUGUCGCGUCGGCCGUGAAAACCUGCAGCUUAACUGUGGGCUUGCGGUCGAUACGGGCAUCACUGGAGUUCGGCAGGGGAGACUGGAAUUCCUGGUGUAGCGGUGAAAUGCGCAGAUAUCAGGAGGAACACCGGUGGCGAAGGCGGGUCUCUGGGCCGAUACUGACGCUGAGGAGCGAAAGCGUGGGGAGCAAACAGG
RNAcentral lists this ribosomal RNA (254 nucleotides) under uncultured bacterium. Its description in RNAcentral is "partial 16S ribosomal RNA". It matches the Rfam family "Bacterial small subunit ribosomal RNA", at positions 524 to 776 of the family's 1533-position model. The record is from RNAcentral.